Non-coding RNA from Trichosurus vulpecula (common brushtail), 74 nucleotides. Lineage: Eukaryota; Metazoa; Chordata; Mammalia; Diprotodontia; Phalangeridae. The record is from the annotation of a RefSeq genome assembly.
GCCUGGAAUAGCUUAGUGGAGAAAAUGUUAGACUGAAGAUCUAAAGGUCCCUUGUUCAAUCCCAGGUUUAGGCA